Molecule: non-coding RNA, 713 nt
Organism: Ceratotherium simum simum (southern white rhinoceros)
Lineage: Eukaryota; Metazoa; Chordata; Mammalia; Perissodactyla; Rhinocerotidae
Source: RefSeq, a predicted model, not a curated record
GCUGCCAGUUAGGAGGCAGAAUACAAGUCCUGUCACCUCCACCAAGCAGCAGGGUAGCAUAAAAAGAAGUCUAAGGACCUAAUAUCCUGUCCUCUUAUGAGCUGAGACCCACCCCCAGAACCCAGAACUGAACCGCUAAGUCAAAAGAGUUGAGAAAAAGUAUCUAAAACAACAGAAACAAAUCAGAGGACUGGCAGAGUUUCUCACCUUUGGCUAGGGCCAAGGACUCAGGAAGCAAGGCUGGAAUAAGUUUACCCAUAGACCAGUUACAGCUCCCAGCAUACACCUGGGCCGUGUGGAUCACUUUUACCUGCGGGGGAGUCAACUUCCUCCCUCCUGCCUUGUCUGAGCGACAGGCAAGCAGCAGGCCUGCACCAGAGAGGCGGGUCCCUAGCAGGGCAGAGAGAGGAGCCGAUGCGAUCAUAUGCGGAGAGGUCUAGAACACAAGUAUCCUGCCACGAGAAUUGCGUUUGCAGGCUCUCAGCCAGCCUACCACACUGGUGGGAGGGGAAGGAGACUUGGCAAAAACCCAAAGUAGGUGUGACUUCUGUCUGUCCCAGCACUGUGAGUCACCCAGCUGCCUUGGUCCAUGGGAGUAAGGAACUGCGAGGCACCUGACUGUUUGGACCAUGCAAAUAUAGGUCUGAAUUAGAGGUUUCUGACAUGAGAGGAUCUGGGAUUCUGCCUGUGUUCGCCACUAGUAUUUAAAUUUG